RNAcentral lists this ribosomal RNA (492 nucleotides) under uncultured bacterium. Its description in RNAcentral is "partial 16S ribosomal RNA". It matches the Rfam family "Bacterial small subunit ribosomal RNA", at positions 29 to 507 of the family's 1533-position model. The record is from RNAcentral.
AGUGAACGCUGGCGGUAGGCCUAACACAUGCAAGUCGAACGGCAGCACAGUAAGAGCUUGCUCUUACGGGUGGCGAGUGGCGGACGAGUGAGGAAUACAUCGGAAUCUACUUUUUCGUGGGGGAUAACGUAGGGAAACUUACGCUAAUACCGCAUACGACCUACGGGUGAAAGCAGGGGAUCUUCGGACCUUGCGCGAUUGAAUGAGCCGAUGUCGGAUUAGCUAGUUGGCGGGGUAAAGGCCCACCAAGGCGACGAUCCGUAGCUGGUCUGAGAGGAUGAUCAGCCACACUGGAACUGAGACACGGUCCAGACUCCUACGGGAGGCAGCAGUGGGGAAUAUUGGACAAUGGGCGCAAGCCUGAUCCAGCCAUACCGCGUGGGUGAAGAAGGCCUUCGGGUUGUAAAGCCCUUUUGUUGGGAAAGAAAAGCAGCAGGUUAAUACCCCGCUGUUCUGACGGUACCCAAAGAAUAAGCAACGGCUAACUUCGUG